UGAGGAACAUGACCUUCGGCGGGGGAUAGCCGGCCCAACGGCCGGGUAAUACCGCGUACGACCUUUUGGGGACAUCCCCGAUUGGUGAAAGCAGCAAUGCGCCGAAAGAGUGCCUCGCGGCCUAUCAGCUAGUUGGUGAGGUAACGGCUCACCAAGGCGACGACGGGUAGCUGGU
Molecule: ribosomal RNA, 175 nt
Filed under: uncultured bacterium
Lineage: Bacteria
Description: partial 16S ribosomal RNA
Rfam family: Bacterial small subunit ribosomal RNA
Source: RNAcentral